GACGAACCGUCCAAACGUUAUUCGGAAUCACUGGGCUUACAGAGUUCGUAGGCGGUCUGGAAAGUUGGGUGUGAAAUCCCUCGGCUCAACCGAGGAACUGCGCUUGAAACUACCAGACUCGAGGGAGAUAGAGGAAAGCGGAACUGAUGGUGGAGCGGUGAAAUGCGUUGAUAUCAUCAGGAACACCGGUGGCGAAGGCGGCUUUCUGGGUCGGUACUGACGCUGAGACGCGAAAGCGUGGGGAGCGAACAGG
RNAcentral lists this ribosomal RNA (253 nucleotides) under uncultured bacterium. RNAcentral describes it as "partial 16S ribosomal RNA". It matches the Rfam family "Bacterial small subunit ribosomal RNA", at positions 524 to 776 of the family's 1533-position model. The record is from RNAcentral.